AAGCAUAUCAAUAAGCGGAGGAAAAGAAACCAACAGGGAUUGCCCCAGUAGCGGCGAGUGAAGCGGCAAAAGCUCAGAUUUGGAAUCGCUUCGGCGAGUUGUGAAUUGCAGGUUGGCGCCUCUGCGGCGGCGGCGGUCCAAGUCCCUUGGAACAGGGCGCCAUUGAGGGUGAGAGCCCCGUGGGACCGUUUGCCUAUGCUCUGAGGCCCUUCUGACGAGUCGAGUUGUUUGGGAAUGCAGCUCUAAGCGGGUGGUAAAUUCCAUCUAAGGCUAAAUACUGGCGAGAGACCGAUAGCGAACAAGUACUGUGAAGGAAAGAUGAAAAGCACUUUGAAAAGAGAGUGAAACAGCACGUGAAAUUGUUGAAAGGGAAGGGUAUUGCGCCCGACAUGGAGCGUGCGCACCGCUGCCCCUCGUGGGCGGCGCUCUGGGCGUGCUCUGGGCCAGCAUCGGUUUUUGCCGCGGGAGAAGGGCGGCGGGCAUGUAGCUCUUCGGAGUGUUAUAGCCUGCCGCCGGCGCCGCGAGCGGGGACCGAGGACUGCGACUUUUGUCUCGGAUGCUGGCACAACGGCGCAACACCGC
RNAcentral lists this ribosomal RNA (582 nucleotides) under Pichia fermentans. RNAcentral's name for it is "LSU rRNA". It matches the Rfam family "Eukaryotic large subunit ribosomal RNA", at positions 36 to 648 of the family's 3401-position model. Lineage: Eukaryota; Fungi; Ascomycota; Pichiomycetes; Pichiales; Pichiaceae. The record is from RNAcentral.